RNAcentral lists this ribosomal RNA (501 nucleotides) under uncultured bacterium. RNAcentral describes it as "partial 16S ribosomal RNA". It matches the Rfam family "Bacterial small subunit ribosomal RNA", at positions 30 to 523 of the family's 1533-position model. The record is from RNAcentral.
AUUGAACGCUGGCGGCAGGCUUAACACAUGCAAGUCGAGCGGGGGAAGGUAGCUUGCUACCGGACCUAGCGGCGGACGGGUGAGUAAUGCUUAGGAAUCUGCCUAUUAGUGGGGGACAACAUCUCGAAAGGGAUGCUAAUACCGCAUACGUCCUACGGGAGAAAGCAGGGGAUCUUCGGACCUUGCGCUAAUAGAUGAGCCUAAGUCGGAUUAGCUAGUUGGUGGGGUAAAGGCCUACCAAGGCGACGAUCUGUAGCGGGUCUGAGAGGAUGAUCCGCCACACUGGGACUGAGACACGGCCCAGACUCCUACGGGAGGCAGCAGUGGGGAAUAUUGGACAAUGGGCGGAAGCCUGAUCCAGCCAUGCCGCGUGUGUGAAGAAGGCCUUAUGGUUGUAAAGCACUUUAAGCGAGGAGGAGGCUACUUUAGUUAAUACCUAGAGAUAGUGGACGUUACUCGCAGAAUAAGCACCGGCUAACUCUGUGCCAGCCGCCGCAGUAA